Molecule: long non-coding RNA, 1378 nt
Organism: Salvia splendens (bonfire salvia)
Lineage: Eukaryota; Viridiplantae; Streptophyta; Magnoliopsida; Lamiales; Lamiaceae
Exons: 3
Source: RefSeq, a predicted model, not a curated record
UCCCCUAGAAUCUCUCAGUGUUUGUAGCGACGGUUGAAAGUAGCGAUGAAGAGAAAUACCUAUAUUGCGAUUGCAGCAGAUCUUGCUGCGGCGUGAGUUAUACUCUUUGGUGAAGGUUCCCAGCGGAGAGGAAGCUGUCUCGAACGACACCUCUCUAACACUAAAUCUAAACCUUCGCAUAUGGAUUUCGGCCAUCUUAAACGACGCUUCUCGAAAUUUUAAUUUUUGAUGCGUUUUGAACCCUUUGGCUAUAUUUUUAUUCUAUCCCUAAUUUUUCAUUUUCAGAUGAGCUUUACGCCAUUCACAACGCCGGAUGGGGAGGAUGGGCUGGAUCCCACCGGCCCGACUCUUGCGGCGUUAGAGUGUCCACAAUGGGGGAGCCGCGGCCUGUGGCUCGGUGCACGGCCGCCCAUUGCAGAGAGCCGAGGGUGGGCCGCAGCCUUCACGUGGCUGAGCCGUGUGAGCCGCGGCCCUCCAUUGCAUCGAGCUGCGUUUCGCGGCUGGGCAGCCGAUUAUAAAUUUUUUUUUAAUUUCGAAAUUCUUUUAUAAAUAUACACUCUCAUUUUCAUUUUUUCACUUCUUUCUACACUUCUAAUCCCUUCAUUUUACAUUUCUAAACACUACAAAAAAUGCAAGGUGGAGAUGAUAAUUCCUCGGGGUAUGGAGAUUUGGGAUACGGCAACUUCCCAAUCAGACUUGGAGUCCGCAAUCGCCCCAAUUCUGGGUCCAGCCAUCCCAGCAGAGGAACUUGGUUCGCCAACCAUCGGGGUUUGGUGACUACUGACCGAAUAUGGACGCGAUCAACAACCCGUCCCAAGGGCCACGUAAGAGCCACGAAUGGUGGUCGGGCCAUAUUUAGUGGCCGUCAAGGGCCACCAUUGUGGACACUCUUAGGACGCUCCCUUUUGCUGCCCGUCCUGGAUAAUCCUCCCAUUGCGAACUUGCGUAGUGGAUUCGAAUUAAAAUUUCAAAAAUCUAUAAAUACAUGCUCCAUUUUUCUUUUCAAUUCAUUCCUCGUUCAAUUUCUACCUCAUUCAAUUGCUGAACUUCACAACUUCAUGUUGAUCGUACUCAAGAAGAAGCUCGCUGAGAAGCUUAAGUUGAACGAUGAAUAGUCACUUUUUUCAAACGUUAUUUUCUUAUGAUAAAUUUUAACGAAUCAAUUAUGCGUUAUGUUAUUUUCUACACUCUUACAAAUUUGCGAACCCAAUAAAUUUUCGCUGAGAAGCUUAAGUUGAACGAUGAAUAGUCACUUUUUUCAAACGUUAUUUUCUUAUGAUAAAUUUUAACGAAUCAAUUAUGCGUUAUGUUAUUUUCUACACUCUUACAAAUUUGCGAACCCAAUAAAUUUUAAGCCUAUAGGUCUGUUAUUUUUUAA